This 82-nucleotide transfer RNA is filed under the name Penaeus vannamei (Pacific white shrimp). RNAcentral describes it as "Litopenaeus vannamei (Pacific white shrimp) tRNA". It matches the Rfam family "tRNA". From Rfam's summary of the family: Transfer RNA (tRNA) molecules are approximately 80 nucleotides in length. Their secondary structure includes four short double-helical elements and three loops (D, anti-codon, and T loops). The record is from Rfam by way of RNAcentral. Lineage: Eukaryota; Metazoa; Arthropoda; Malacostraca; Decapoda; Penaeidae.
ACUUUGGUGUCCGAGUGGUUAGGGAGGUGGACUUGAAAUCCAUUGGGAUCUGACCGCACUGGUUCGAUUCCUGUCCGCAGCG